Molecule: ribosomal RNA, 477 nt
Filed under: uncultured bacterium
Lineage: Bacteria
Description: partial 16S ribosomal RNA
Rfam family: Bacterial small subunit ribosomal RNA
Source: RNAcentral
ACGCACGCUGGCGGCGUGCUUAACACCUGCAAGUCGAACGGGAUUUAGUAAACGGAAGCCUCGGUGGAAGAUUACUAAUGAGAGUGGCGAACGGGUGAGUAACGCGUGAGCAACCUGCCUAUGACAGUGGGAUAGCCUCGGGAAACCGGGAUUAAUACCGCAUAAAAUCGUAGAAACACAUGUUUCAACGGUCAAAGAUUUAUCGGUCAUAGAUGGGCUCGCGUCUGAUUAGCUAGUUGGUGAGAUAACAGCCCACCAAGGCGACGAUCAGUAGCCGGUCUGAGAGGAUGAACGGCCACAUUGGAACUGAGACACGGUCCAAACUCCUACGGGAGGCAGCAGUGGGGAAUAUUGCACAAUGGGGGAAACCCUGAUGCAGCGACGCCGCGUGAACGAAGAAGGUAUUCGUAUCGUAAAGUUCUGUCCUAUGGGAAGAUAAUGACAGUACCAUAGAAGAAAGCUCCGGCUAAAUACGUG